CCGUGCUAGCCGGGGAGGUAGCGGAUCCCUGUACUCGAAGCCCGCUAUAGCGAGGGUGACGCUUGCAUUAGGCUCCUUUUUUGUGGGGACAGACCUUGGAUUGACGCGUUGACGAUUGAGUCUUGCGCAAUAGGCAUCUGUGAACCGUGUCAGAUCCGGAAGGAAGCAGCACUAAGCAGAUCUGUCUAUGUGAUGCGAGGUUGCUUGGUCUGAGUUGAUUUUCAAGAAAUCGCCCGGAAAGAAAUGUCGACUGCAGGCGCACGG
Molecule: signal recognition particle RNA, 264 nt
Filed under: Clostridiales bacterium
Lineage: Bacteria; Bacillati; Bacillota; Clostridia; Eubacteriales
Description: signal recognition particle sRNA large type
Rfam family: Bacterial large signal recognition particle RNA
About the family: The signal recognition particle (SRP) is a universally conserved ribonucleoprotein involved in the co-translational targeting of proteins to membranes. Archaeal SRP consists of a 7S RNA and homologues of the eukaryotic SRP19 and SRP54 proteins.
Source: RNAcentral